CCAGCAGCUGUAGCUCUGAUUGGACCCCUAGCCUGGGAAUCUCCAUGUGCUGUGCGUGCAGCCCUUAAAAGCAAAAAAAAAAAAGCAAAAAAAGAAGAAAAAAAAGAAGAAAAAGGAGAGAGAACCCUAUCCCUCUCCCCUCCCACCCUAUGCACAUACCAAGGAAGGGCCACGUGAAGACACAGCAAGGAGGAGGUCAUUUAUAAGCCAGGAAGGGAGCCCCCAGAGCCUGACUGCCCUGGCCCCCUGAUCUCAGAAUUCCAGCUUCCAGAACUGUGAGAAAACAAAAUUUCUGUUGUUUAAGCCAAUCAGCCAGUAUAUGGUAUUUUGUUAUGGCAGCCCGAGCUGACUGAAACCAGAGAAGGAGGUCCUGGACCUUAAGCUUGGGCAUGAAACCAUAAUGGGAUGAGACUUUUGAUAAUGACACCUAUCCCAGGGGGUUUGUUCAUUUAUUCAGCAAAUAUUUAUCAAAGACUUACGGUGUUAAGUAUUAGGGAUACAGUGAUGAACAAGACGGAGUCCAUGGUCUUAUGUUGAUGCCUUUCUAGUGGGGAAGACAGAUAUAAAACCUGUGACCGAGAGGAGCUUGGAAAGGAAGCAAUAAAGCACCUGGCACCUAGUAGGUCCUUUAAGGAGGUAGCCACCCAUCACCCACGGCCUUGACCACAUCUGGGCUUUCUUGAAACUCCUGCUGGAGGCUGAGCAGAGAACUAACUCCCACCACCCUGGUCCUAGCCCAUCCAUGCCCAGCCAUCCUCUGUAUUGUCCCAAGUGACCUUGCCAAAGACGUGGCUUCUCCCUGGAGCCAGACCACACCUGCUCUGAGCAGCCAAGAUCCUGAAUCUUCAUCUUAGCCUCCCAUUGCCUUUGCUGUGGGUUGUCUGCUUUUCUUGGUGAGAUGUUAUCUGCAUUUGCUCUAAGAAUUUUUCAUCUUCUUCACUAAACCAGAGGAGGGAGAGAUCCCCAGGGACCCCUGUCCUCACCUACAGAAGAAUAACCUUCCAUGGAUCAGUGUGACGUGCCAGGGCCGUGUACACACCAUCUCCUUUAAUCUCAGUGCCACCCUGGGUGCUAUCAUAAUGCCCUUUUGGCAGAGGCAGAAAUGGAAGCACGGAAAGGUUGAUUAGGUGCCUGUGGCAACACAGCUGGUUAGUGUCGGAUAUGAAUUCAAACCCAGGCACUCUCCACUCUCCUGAGGAUGAUCUGCAUGGAUAUGACUGAAUCAGAGUUGGGGAGAGGAGGGAUGGGAUGAGGACAAGGGUGAGAAGUCCAGAGGCUGGGCAGGGAGGAUGUAAGUCUGGAGGUGGGACCCCAGCAUCCUUGUUCUCUGGGAAGUUACCUUUAUGCCCAGGGGAAGAUAGGAUGGAAUGGAGAAGAGAACUGAUAAGAAACUUUUUGAACAUUUUGGUCCCUUAACAGUAUCUAUGAGUCCACUGUGAGCAGUUGCACAGGUUGUGCACUGCCCAACUCAAAUGGCAUCAUUCACACUGGGGUUUAUGAGAAUGGCACCAUAUAGGGAAUAUAUGGGUCACAUCUUAUGUUAUAGGAGGACUUCUCAGCAGUCCUGGCUCUGAUGCCAUGGAGGCAGGGAGAGUCUCUCAUCUUGGAAUAGAGCCCCCAGGUCUCUACAGAGGAGAGGGGUCAGGGAGGGAUGGCCCACAGCAGGCCACUGAAUCUCCUAGGAAGAAUGAUGUGGAGGUGUGAACAAGCUGCCCUGGGUCUCUCCUUCACCACGUGGCCAGCUCAGAGGCAGCUGGUGGUCUCACCCUCCGCUGCCCAGUGCCCGAGGCUGAGGUCCCUGCAUGCCCUGGACUGUGGGAGCUGGAGCCUCCUUGCAGGGAUGCUGGCUUUCAGGGUCUUGCCUCCAACCCAGUGGGUAUCUCUCCCUGAAAGCUUGUCUGGUUGGCUUUGGGUCUCCUUUCUCUUCUCCCCAGGACAGCUGGGGGGGACCCCCUUUUCCAGGAACCCUUCCUGCAGCCAACUUGGGGGUUAGGGAGACCUGGGGUGGGUGGAGGGAGCGACUUUAAGAGCCCAGCCACUUGUCUGACUCAGCUCUAAGAACUUCCUCUAAGAGACAGGAGAGUUUGAGUCACCAGGCUGUCCCCUCGCCCAGGGGCCUUGCCCACCUGCUCCUCUCUGUGUAAAUCCCCAGGGCCCUCCGUCGUCUUCCCUGUCAGGGACCGAUGGCGGCCCACCCUGGUGAUGGUUUAUUACAGCUCACUUCCUGCUGUGAGUAAAUAAGUUUGUCUCCUUUAAAUUCCAGGGGCAAUUAGGAGAAUGAAAGAGUGAUCUGUGGAUUAGCAUUUAUUUCCUCCAAACGUUUAUAUGAGGCCAUUUUCCCACUGACAAAUCGUGGGGCAAAUUGUUCUCGAGAAAGUCUGUCUGCAGCAAAGGUGCUAUGAUUAAACGGCUGGUGUAAAUUUGGGGCCAUAAAUCCUUUCCCUGGGUUAACGGGAUUUAUUUGCAGCAACUGCCAUUACGAGCUCAAAGAAGUCAUAAUAAAUGAGGUUGAUUUUGCACCUGUUUCGGGGUAAUUAAUAUGCACACAAAAGGGAAAAGAGGUGGUUUUUAUGGACUGCCUGGCUCGUGGCUCAGAACGGGGCCACGCUGUGCGGUCCUCAGGUCGGCGGCCAGCCUGGUUCAAGGCCUCUGGGCUGGGAGCUCUGGGGAUGCGGCUGGAGGCACGAGGUCUGGGGUCUGGCCUGAAGCUUCUGUGUUGCAGGUAACAGAGUCCCUCUAGGCAGCCUGAGGAGUGUAGGGGUUGUUAACAGGCCAAGAGGGAGAACAGGACAUGCAUGGAACUCGAGGGUUGGGGAAAUGGACAGAGUUCAUUGGUUACCAGUGACGGAAAGUCGAAACAGCGGAGCUCCCAGGAUGGGAGGAAAUGCAGCCGGAACCUGGCUCUAAGGGUUGAGAUGGAGACUCAGGACCAUGACAUCUUUCUCUCUGUUUGCCUCUCUGCUCCCUCCAAGCUGGCCCUGCUAGGAAGCCGCCCCUGCCCCAGAGGAACCCAAAGUUCCCUUAAAUGGAAGGUCAAGGUCCAAACUCCACUUGCUCUCCCCUCAGUAGCUCCCAUGCAGAGAUGGAGAGACUGAUCCUUAUUCCUGAGGUUUCUUGGGGGGUUCAGCCUUUCCAGACCCCACCUCAAGCCCGUCCUGGCCAGAAGGGGUCUACUGACAUCCGCGGAUGUUGUCAUCUUGCACUGACCCCGCUCCCCGCACCACUGCCCACCAUUCCCCCGCCCCCAUGCCUAGAAGACCUGCCUUCUGCUUACAGACCUUGUCCAGCUGGAGAGCCAGCACCUGGGACCCCUGCCCAGCCCUGGUCAGAUCCAUCCCUGGAAACCCUGAGCCUGCGACUCCAGCCUCUGCCUGCAUUAUUUCUCCCAACAGGCCCCUCCCACCGCCGCCCCCUCACCCCCAAUCUUGUGCUCUGAGACACAGUCCUAGGUGGGAGCUUCCUGGGAGGGGAGUUUGGACCCUGGGCUUCCGGUUGGGAAGAAGAUGUGUUUUGGUUGCCUCUGUCUUUUUAAGUCCUCUCUGGUCCCCUUCUCUCUUCCCUCCCCUCCCCUCCCCAGCCUGGGCAAGAUGAGGUCCCCAGGGAAUCCUCCGUGGGCCUUGGUGGGAAAGCAGUUAGAUAGAUUAUCCAAACACGGAUUCAGUGGUGGCAUAUUCCUGAGAGGCAGUGAAAGUGUGUCACUGAGAGCUUGGGCUCAGGGACCAGGCUGCCUGGGUUUGAACCCUCGCUCAACACUUCCCGGCCGUGAGAUCCUGGCCAAGUCCUUUCACUGCUCUGAUGUCUGGAGAGUGACUGACUCAGCUUAGAGAAGCAUUUCCAGGAGAGAGGACAUUGGAGAGGGGGCUACACGAGUGAAUGAGAGUUCCCCAGUGGAGCUAGGGAGAAAGGAUCUAUUCCAGGCAGAGAGAACAGUCUGUGCAAAUCAGGGGGAAAGAACUCUGUUCAGUGGAUGAGGAGUUAAGGUGGAGCCCCAGAGGGUCAUGUUCUUGUAUUUAAUUUAAUUUAAUUAUGUAUUUUUCAUUGUCUUUUUAGGGCUGCACCCACUGCACAUGGAAGUUCCCAGGCUAGGGGUUGAUUCAGAGCUGUAAAUGCUGACCUAGACCACAGCCACAGCAAUGCCAGAUCUGAGCUGCAUCUGUGACCUACACCACAGCUCAUGGCAAUGCCGGAUCCUUAACCCCCUGAGCGAGGCCAGGGAUCGAACCCACAACCUCAUGGAUAAUAGUCGGGGUCAUUACCUCUGAGCCACCAUGGGAACGCCAAGGCAUGUUGUUUUAAAGCUUGCAGGAAAAUUCAGAUGUGGAGAAAAUCUCCAAUGAGGUCUUUUUUUUUUUUCUUUAAAGCAAUUAAAUCUGACUCUAAUCCCUACUCCCUGACCCCUGAACUGGCAGGAAAUUCAAUUUCAGUCAGUACCAAGGCCCUGCCCCUUCUGGGGUCUUCCCGGCAUGCAGGGGACUCUCAAAGGUCAUCUGACAACUGGGACAAGUCUUCAAAACUGCUCUCCACUGGCCACUGCAGCUGGGGUCCUUCUUGUCUGAGCUCACAGGGGUCGCUGAGACCCUGUGACAUUUUCCCAACAGGGGGCUCCCCUCUGUGUCCAGGCGAGGUGUCAUGGGCCUGGGAUCUGGCUCAGUAUGCGAUGCACCUGCCCCUGGGUCAUCUCGGGAGGAUCACGGGUCGUGCUGAGUCCUGACACUUGUCUCGUCUUUGCAGCCAGGGGAGAAAUCCCCUCCUCCUUGCAGGUCUAGGCCCUCUUCUCCCGCCACUCCUGCUCUGGGUCACCUCUCCAAGGGCUCUGAGCUCCUUAUAAAUGCCAGGAAGGCGAUGGGCAGGCACUGUUACUGUGUUCUGCAAAAUCCCGAGAGCGGCUCUGGGGUAGGUUCAAAAUGCAGUGAAAGAAAAAGUUUUUGUGUUUUUGUUUCUUAGGGCCAUACCCAAGGCACAUGGAGGUUCCCAGGCUAGGGGUGGAAUCAGAGCCGCAGCUGCCAGCCUACGCCACAGCCAUAACCACAGCCACGUGGGGUCUGAGCCAUGUCUGUGACCUACACUGUGCAGCUCCCGACAACGCCGGAUCCUGAACCCACUGAGCGAGACCAGGGAUCCAACCUGCAUCCUCAUGGAUACUUGUCGGGUUCGUUACCCCUGGGCUGCAAUGGGAACUGCAAAAUUUUUUUAAAAGAUGAAAGAAAAGGGAGUUCCCUCGUAGCUCAGCAGCGUUGUCACUGCUGUGGUUCAGGUUUCUGGUGUGGCUGUAAUAAAUAAAUAGUAAACUUCCAAAUGAGAUUGUGCUAAUUCUCUGCUUACACUUAUCCAAA
This 5333-nucleotide long non-coding RNA is filed under the name Sus scrofa (pig). RNAcentral's name for it is "lncRNA (ENSSSCG00000052330.1)". The record is from RNAcentral. Lineage: Eukaryota; Metazoa; Chordata; Mammalia; Artiodactyla; Suidae.